This 210-nucleotide unclassified non-coding RNA is filed under the name Hevea brasiliensis (rubber tree). The record is from RNAcentral. Lineage: Eukaryota; Viridiplantae; Streptophyta; Magnoliopsida; Malpighiales; Euphorbiaceae.
AAUCCAUAUAGCUGACCCCAACUAUUUAGGAAUAAGCUGAUGAAAAAUCUUAAUGGAAUCAGUUAACGAGUAAGGCCACAAUAAAAGUUAGAAUAGAUGUUGAACAAGAGAAACAAAUUCUAAUAUGUGGACUGAUGAUUCUUUAGAACAGAUUCACAAAAGAGUCUUAAAUCAAUACCAUUGACCGCAAAAGAAUCAAAAUUUAAGCAU